AGAGUUUGAUCUUGGCUCAGGACGAACGCUGGCGGCGUGCCUAAUACAUGCAAGUCAAGCGAGCUUGCCUAGAUGAUUUUAGUGCUUGCACUAAAUGAAACUAGAUACAAGCGAGCGGUGGACGGGUGAGUAACACGUGGGUAACCUGCCCAAGAGACUGGGAUAACACCUGGAAAACAGAUGCUAAUACCGGAUAACCAACACUAGACGCAUGUCUAGAGUUUGAAAGAUGGUUCUGCUAUCACUCUUGGAUGGACCUGCGGUGCAUUAGCUAGUUGGUAAGGUAACGGCUUACCAAGGCAAUGAUGCAUAGCCGAGUUGAGAGACUGAUCGGCCACAUUGGGACUGAGACACGGCCCAAACUCCUACGGGAGGCAGCAGUGGGGAAUAUUGCACAAUGGGGGAAACCCUGAUGCAGCAACGCCGCGUGAGUGAAGAAGUAUUUCGGUAUGUAAAGCUCUAUCAGCAGGGAAGAAGAAAGACGGUACCUGACUAAGAAGCCCCGGCUAACUACGUGCCAGCAGCCGCGGUAAUACGUAGGGGGCAAGCGUUAUCCGGAUUUACUGGGUGUAAAGGGUGCGUAGACGGCUGUGCAAGUCUGAAGUGAAAGCCCGUGGCUCAACCGCGGAACUGCUUUGGAAACUGUAUAGCUUGAGUACUGGAGAGGCAGGCGGAAUUCCUAGUGUAGCGGUGAAAUGCGUAGAUAUUAGGAGGAACACCAGUGGCGAAGGCGGCUUACUGGACUGUAACUGACGUUGAGGCUCGAAAGCGUGGGGAGCAAACAGGAUUAGAUACCCUGGUAGUCCACGCCAUAAACGAUGAAUAUUAGGUGUCGGGGGACAAAGUCCUUCGGUGCCGCAGCAAACGCAGUAAAUAUUCCACCUGGGGAGUACGUUCGCAAGAAUGAAACUCAAAGGAAUUGACGGGGGCCCGCACAAGCGGAGGAACAUGUGGUUUAAUUCGAUGAUACGCGAGGAACCUUACCCGGGCUCAAACGACGGAUGGAUGUUUCUGAAAGGAGGCAGUCCUACGGGACAUCCGUCGAGGUGCUGCAUGGUUGUCGUCAGCUCGUGCCGUGAGGUGUCGGCUUAAGUGCCAUAACGAGCGCAACCCCCAUCGCCAGUUACCAGCAAGUAAAGUUGGGGACUCUGGCGAGACUGCCGGCGCAAGCUGUGAGGAAGGCGGGGAUGACGUCAAAUCAGCACGGCCCUUACGUCCGGGGCGACACACGUGUUACAAUGGCAGGUACAGAGAGAAGCGAUGCGGCGACGCAGAGCGGAACUUCAAAGCCUGUCUCAGUUCGGAUUGGAGUCUGCAACCCGACUCCAUGAAGCUGGAUUCGCUAGUAAUCGCGCAUCAGCCACGGCGCGGUGAAUACGUUCCCGGGCCUUGCACUCACCGCCCGUCA
RNAcentral lists this ribosomal RNA (1408 nucleotides) under uncultured bacterium. RNAcentral describes it as "partial 16S ribosomal RNA". It matches the Rfam family "Bacterial small subunit ribosomal RNA". The record is from RNAcentral.